RNAcentral lists this ribosomal RNA (247 nucleotides) under uncultured bacterium. RNAcentral's name for it is "partial 16S ribosomal RNA". It matches the Rfam family "Bacterial small subunit ribosomal RNA", at positions 1254 to 1500 of the family's 1533-position model. The record is from RNAcentral.
GCAGUGAUGUGGAGCUAAACUGAAAAAAGUAAGUCUCAGUUCGGAUUGAAGGCUGAAAUUCGCCUUCAUGAAGCCGGAAUUGCUAGUAAUGGCAGGUCAGCAUACUGCCGUGAAUACGUUCCCGGGCCUUGUACACACCGCCCGUCACACCAUGAGAGUUGGGAAUACCCGAAGCCUGUGAGCUAACUAUACGAGGCAGCAGUCGAAGGUAGAAUCAAUGAUUGGGGUGAAGUCGUAACAAGGUACC